AUGGAGAAAGAAGAUGAGUUCCAUGCCAUCAUCAAAUGCACAAGGAGCCGAGCACUAAGACAUGCGAUGAGGGCUCUGUGGGAUCUACCAAAGGAAACAGAAAUGACAUAUACUGGGGGAGACUGGUUACAGGUGCUCCUGCUCGCCCAGUCUGAGAAUGUCAGGAGUAAUAUACUGAUGGUCCUAUGGCAAGCAUGGAGUCUGCGAAACAACCUAGUCCAUGGCGAUGGCAGAGAUACAGUUUCAGGUUCAGUGCAGUUCCUUCUUAGGUUGAAGGAAGAUCUCCUGCUGGCAGCAGGGAAUGAUGACGCAGAGGGAUACAAAAAGAAGCAGUCAUUAUUCCCACAACGUUGCUAUACACACGACGUCCUAUGCACGAUUUACAGACGAUACUAA
RNAcentral lists this ribosomal RNA (396 nucleotides) under Triticum aestivum (bread wheat). RNAcentral's name for it is "partial small subunit ribosomal RNA". Lineage: Eukaryota; Viridiplantae; Streptophyta; Magnoliopsida; Poales; Poaceae. The record is from RNAcentral.